CGUGUAAAGAACAUGUAAGGUAAUUAUAGAGACUGCAAGGUAUUUGUAGUAACAUCUAGAGACAUAUAAUUACAUCUAAUCACUGUAAAUUUUCUUUGUUGCUGCAGCCUCAGGAUGAAACAGCGUAGAAAGACAUCAAAGAGGCUGCAUUAGGAUUAGUACGGGGAACUAUUUUAACUUCAAGAAGAUUAGUGGUUAUAAAUUACAUUGGAGUGAACGAAAGGUUCCAGUGACGUUAGAGGUCUCAGAUUAUCCUAGGGGAUUUGUUGUUGUCUGUGGUGGUU
Dendronephthya gigantea is the source of this 284-nucleotide long non-coding RNA. RefSeq lists it as uncharacterized. The record is from RefSeq and is a predicted model, not a curated record. Lineage: Eukaryota; Metazoa; Cnidaria; Anthozoa; Malacalcyonacea; Nephtheidae. The transcript has 3 exons.